CACGCACACACGCGCGGCAUAUCAAUAAGCGGAGGAAAAGAAACUAACAAGGAUUCCCUUAGUAACGGCGAGUGAAGCGGGAAGAGCUCAAAUUUGAAAUCUUCAAGGUUCUACCUUGACGAAUUGUAGUUUAUAGAAGUGUUUUCUGUUAGUAGAGUGGCAAAAGUUCUUUGGAAUAGGACAUCAUAGAGGGUGAGAAUCCCGUAUUUGGUCAUUCUUUCUAGCUUUGUGAUACACUUUCAACGAGUCGGAUUGUUUGGGAAUGCAGUCCAAAAUGGGUGGUAAAUUUCAUCUAAAGCUAAAUAUUGGCGAGAGACCGAUAGCGAACAAGUACCGUGAGGGAAAGAUGAAAAGAACUUUGAAAAGAGAGUUAAACAGUACGUGAAAUUGUCAAAAGGGAAGCGUUUGACACCAGUGUUGUUUUUCCGAAAAUCAAUUACGAAUGUUUUAUUUUUGAGAAGUUAUGACUUCAUCGGCUUGCUUCUUUCUUUAUGAAACUUUCUUAAUGCACUUUUCGGUUAACAAGUCAACAUCAAUUUCUUUUGUUGUAAAAGGGUAUGAGGAAGGUGGCUUUCUUUUCGGAGAAAGUGUUUAUAGCCUUGUGUACCUCUGCAAUCGGAGAGAUUGAGGUCUGCAGCGUAGAUCCUUCGGGGUUAGAUACAUUUGUGCUAAGUUAUAGCUUUUCAUAGACAACUUGUUGACUAUGUUUAGUCUUGUAGCUUACUCGCUUAUGCUAUUUUACCUACGCUUAGGAUGUUGAUAGUCACAGCGUGUAC
RNAcentral lists this ribosomal RNA (776 nucleotides) under uncultured Neocallimastigales. Its description in RNAcentral is "partial large subunit ribosomal RNA". It matches the Rfam family "Eukaryotic large subunit ribosomal RNA", at positions 16 to 644 of the family's 3401-position model. Lineage: Eukaryota; Fungi; Neocallimastigomycota; Neocallimastigomycetes; Neocallimastigales. The record is from RNAcentral.